Molecule: ribosomal RNA, 465 nt
Filed under: uncultured bacterium
Lineage: Bacteria
Description: partial 16S ribosomal RNA
Rfam family: Bacterial small subunit ribosomal RNA
Source: RNAcentral
GACGAACGCUGGCGGCGUGCUUAACACAUGCAAGUCGAACGGAAAGGCCCCUUCGGGGGUACUCGAGUGGCGAACAGGUGAGUAACACGUGAGUAACCUGCCCUUGACUUCGGGAUAACUUCAGGAAACUGGGGCUAAUACCGGAUAGGAAUCCUUGCUGCAUGGUGGGGGUUGGAAAGCUUCGGCGGUUUUGGAUGGACUCGCGGCUUAUCAGCUUGUUGGUGGGGUAGUGGCUUACCAAGGCUUUGACGGGUAGCCGGCCUGAGAGGGCGACCGGCCACAUUGGGACUGAGAUACGGCCCAGACUCCUACGGGAGGCAGCAGUGGGGAAGAUUGCACAAUGGGCGGAAGCCUGAUGCAGCAACGCCGCGGGCGGGAUGACGGCCUUCGGGUUGUAAACCGCUUUCAGCAGGGGCGAAGCUUGUGGUGACGGUACCUGCAGAAGAAGCACCGGCUAACUACGUG